RNAcentral lists this long non-coding RNA (921 nucleotides) under Bemisia tabaci. Its description in RNAcentral is "lncRNA ENSSSA1UGG006539". Lineage: Eukaryota; Metazoa; Arthropoda; Insecta; Hemiptera; Aleyrodidae. The record is from RNAcentral.
GCUCACAAUACACAUAGCUCCGUUUUGCAGAAACACGUCCAAUUUACAUUAGAUGUUCCUUCACUAGCUCUGCUUCCUUUAUUUUUCUUUUUUUUUCAGAUCGGCAAGAAACUAUAAGUCUGUGAAAGCGCUUCCAGCACCGUGUGCAAAGUUUUCAACUUAUUUUCUUGCAUCGGAUUCUUUCCUCCUCUUCAAACGCUUCAUAUUAACUUACUAAUUGACAAGAGACAGGGUCAGAGUGGAAGCUACUCUCAGCGUAUUAAUCAUCGGCAAGAAACGAGCAUAAUGAAAGCUGUUUCACUUCAUUUUUUACUAUUGUCCACCAAGUCCUACCAUCGAGGAAAAUCUGUGAUUUAAAGGUACCAAUAUAGUUGAAUCACGGUGAUGUGCAUUAAUUUGAAUGAUGAAGAAACUCGCCUUAUUGCUAUGUACCUUGCGUUCUCACUUUAAUGGUACUCCUUUACAAUAGGACGUAAAACUUUAGUAGUUGGAUGGGCAUUUUGAAUAUUAAAUUAUUUGUAGUGUUGUAAAAAUUAACAGAAAUGUUGGUGUAAUUCACCAAAAAGUACCCGUACAGUUUUAAUUAAUCUACAACUGAAGAAUACACUGAAUAAUUGUUUAUGAAAUCAAUAGCUGAAGAAAAAAUUACAAAAGUAGAGAACAACAUUGCACUAUUUUCCGAAUGAUAUUAAUGAAUUCCAGAUUUUUUACCACUAGAUGAUUACAGUACUUUUAGAAAGUAUCAAUUUUGACGAGGCCAUUCAGAGUGAACAAAACAAUUUUCUGGCUUAAGUUUCUAUUUUCAAGUUAGGUUAGGCAUUGACUAAUCAUUCUUUUUUUUAUUUUUAUUUUGUUUCAGGUCUACCAAAAAGGCUCUUUCACAGCAUAAAUUCUGAAUGCCAACCGCUGCAAUCCUUUUUC